Molecule: long non-coding RNA, 99 nt
Organism: Nanorana parkeri
Lineage: Eukaryota; Metazoa; Chordata; Amphibia; Anura; Dicroglossidae
Exons: 3
Source: RefSeq, a predicted model, not a curated record
CCUGGCAUGGUCUUAGAGAUUUCCUUGGUGUUCUUCAUCUGCUUGGAGGUAGGACCAGGAGGCUGAACAGUAAUAUUUGUCUCAUUCUCCAGAUGAGCU